Molecule: ribosomal RNA, 465 nt
Filed under: uncultured bacterium
Lineage: Bacteria
Description: partial 16S ribosomal RNA
Rfam family: Bacterial small subunit ribosomal RNA
Source: RNAcentral
AUGAACGCUGGCGGCGUGCUUAACACCUGCACGUCGAACGAUGAAGCCCAGCUUGCUGGGUGGAUUAGUGGCGAACGGGUGAGUAACACGUGAGUAACCUGCCCUUAACUCUGGGAUAAGCCUGGGAAACUGGGUCUAAUACCGGAUAGGAGCGUCCACCGCAUGGUGGGUGUUGGAAAGAUUUAUCGGUUUUGGAUGGACUCGCGGCCUAUCAGCUUGUUGGUGAGGUAAUGGCUCACCAAGGCGACGACGGGUAGCCGGCCUGAGAGGGUGACCGGCCACACUGGGACUGAGACACGGCCCAGACUCCUACGGGAGGCAGCAGUGGGGAAUAUUGCACAAUGGGCGCAAGCCUGAUGCAGCGACGCCGCGUGAGGGAUGACGGCCUUCGGGUUGUAAACCUCUUUCAGUAGGGAAGAAGCGAAAGUGACGGUACCUGCAGAAGAAGCACCGGCUAACUACGUG